Molecule: RNA transcript, 1116 nt
Organism: Prinia subflava (tawny-flanked prinia)
Lineage: Eukaryota; Metazoa; Chordata; Aves; Passeriformes; Cisticolidae
Gene name: dynein axonemal heavy chain 7-like
Exons: 4
Source: RefSeq, a predicted model, not a curated record
UAAGCCGCAUUCUGAAGCAGCCAGGGGGAAAUGCUCUGCUGGUUGGAAUGGGAGGAAGCGGGCGGCAGUCUCUGACUCGCCUGGCAGCGUUCAUGGCAAGAAUGUGUGUUUUUCAACCAGAGAUAUCUAAGACCUAUGGUACCAGUGAGUGGAGAGAAGAUCUGAAAGGGAGUAUUAAUAACCUGUCUACAUUUUGACUUAAUUUUGAGGAAGGGUGUUUUGGAACAUAAAAUUUUAACUGUCUUGCAUUUUCAGACACUUCUGAGGAAUGCAGGUGUUAAAGGCUUGAAAACUCUAUUUCUAAUCACAGACACGCAAAUUAAAGAAGAAAGCUUUUUAGAAGAUCUUGACAGUGUCCUCAGCACAGGAGAGGUUCCCAAUCCUUUUGCAGCAGAUGAAAAACAAGAAAUUGUAGAGGGUGUUCUUGCAGCAGUUCGGUCUGGUGAUAAAGGUGAAGAACUCAGUCCCUUGGCUUUGUAUGCACUUUUUAUGAACUUCUGCAAAGAAAACCUCCAUACUGUGGUGGCAUUCAGCCCAAUUGGAGAUGCUUUCCGCAAUCGUCUGAGGCAGUUUCCAUCACUCAUCAACUGCUGUACUAUUGAUUGGUUCCAGCCGUGGCCUGAAGAUGCCCUUGGAACGUGUGGCCAAUAAGUUCUUAGAAACACUUCAGCUCACAGACACUGAGCGUCAGGGAAUUGUGCCCAUCUGUAAAUACUUUCAUACUUCAGUUUUGUCACUCUCUGAAAGGUUCUUACAAAGUAUGGGACACCAUAAUUAUGUUACUCCUACUUCUUAUCUUGAGCUUAUUGCUUCAUUUCGGAGGCUUCUUACUGAGAAACGAGACAGUGUCAUGAAGGCCAAGAAGAAAUAUGUGAAUGGGCUAGAUAAACUAGCUUUUGCUGAGUCACAGGUGAGUUAUGACAAACAUGGAACUGAAAAUAGAGAAUGUUUGUCAAAUGCGAGUCUUUUUCUGGAGAAGUCAGUCAAAAGUGGUACCUCAGAUUUUGUUUAGCUCAAUCUUCAACAGUAAAACUAAGAAAUGUAUUUUGCCUUUUCUUUCCUACAAAAGUAGUGCUAGAGCCACAGAACUCCAAGCAUAUAUUGUUAAAUAGUAUA